This 412-nucleotide ribosomal RNA is filed under the name uncultured microorganism. RNAcentral's name for it is "bacterial SSU rRNA". It matches the Rfam family "Archaeal small subunit ribosomal RNA", at positions 459 to 871 of the family's 1478-position model. The record is from RNAcentral.
CAGCCGCCGCGGUAAUACCAACCCCGCGAGUGGUCGGGACGUUUAUUGGGCCUAAAGCGUCCGUAGCCGGCCCGGUAAGUCCCUCCUUAAAGCCCACGGCUCAACCGUGGGAGCGGAGGGAUACUGCCGGGCUAGGGGGCGGGAGAGGCCGGGGGUACUCCUGGGGUAGGGGCGAAAUCCUAUAAUCCCAGGAGGACCACCAGUGGCGAAGGCGCCCGGCUAGCACGCGCCCGACGGUGAGGGACGAAAGCUGGGGGAGCAAAGGGGAUUAGAUACCCCCGUAGUCCCAGCUGUAAACGAUGCAGGCUAGGUGUUAGGCGGGCUUCGUGCCCGCCUAGUGCCGUAGGGAAGCCGUUAAGCCUGCCGCCUGGGGAGUACGGCCGCAAGGCUGAAACUUAAAGGGAAUUGGCGG